GGAUGCGAUCAUACCAACACUAACGCAUGGGAUCCCAUCAGAACUCCGAAGCUAAGCGUGCUUGGGCGAGAGUAGUGUUAGGAUGGGUGACCCCCUAGGAAGUCCUCGUAUUGCGUCCC
This 119-nucleotide ribosomal RNA is filed under the name Nicotiana sylvestris (wood tobacco). The record is from RNAcentral. RNAcentral also lists the same sequence under 1 other name. Lineage: Eukaryota; Viridiplantae; Streptophyta; Magnoliopsida; Solanales; Solanaceae.